UACGUAGGGGGCUAGCGUUGUCCGGAAUCAUUGGGCGGAAAGCGCGUGUAGGCGGUCCGGUAAGUCCGCUGUGAAAGUCGGGGGCUCAACCCUCGAAUGCCGGUGGAUACUGUCGGGCUAGAGUGCGGAAGAGGCGAGUGGAAUUCCUGGUGUAACGGUGAAAUGCGCAGAUAUCAGGAGGAACACCAAUUGCGAAGGCAGCUCGCUGGGACGUUACUGACGCUGAGACGCGAAAGCGUGGGGAGCAAACAGG
This 253-nucleotide ribosomal RNA is filed under the name uncultured bacterium. Its description in RNAcentral is "partial 16S ribosomal RNA". It matches the Rfam family "Bacterial small subunit ribosomal RNA", at positions 524 to 776 of the family's 1533-position model. The record is from RNAcentral.